AGGUCUAUAGCUCAGUUGGUUAGAGCGCCACCUUGACAUGGUGGAGGUCAGCAGUUCGAAUCUGCUUAGACCUACCA
This 77-nucleotide transfer RNA is filed under the name Maribrevibacterium harenarium. Its description in RNAcentral is "Marinomonas sp. HB171799 tRNA-Val". It matches the Rfam family "tRNA". From Rfam's summary of the family: Transfer RNA (tRNA) molecules are approximately 80 nucleotides in length. Their secondary structure includes four short double-helical elements and three loops (D, anti-codon, and T loops). Further hydrogen bonds mediate the characteristic L-shaped molecular structure. tRNAs have two regions of fundamental functional importance: the anti-codon, which is responsible for specific mRNA codon recognition, and the 3' end, to which the tRNAs corresponding amino acid is attached (by aminoacyl-tRNA synthetases). tRNAs cope with the degeneracy of the genetic code in two manners: having more than one tRNA (with a specific anti-codon) for a particular amino acid; and 'wobble' base-pairing, i.e. permitting non-standard base-pairing at the 3rd anti-codon position. The record is from RNAcentral. Lineage: Bacteria; Pseudomonadati; Pseudomonadota; Gammaproteobacteria; Oceanospirillales; Oceanospirillaceae. RNAcentral also lists the same sequence under 1 other name.